GACGAACGCUGGCGGCGUGCUUAACACAUGCAAGUCGAACGGAAAGGCCCUGCUUUUGUGGGGUGCUCGAGUGGCGAACGGGUGAGUAACACGUGAGUAACCUGCCCUUGACUUUGGGAUAACUUCAGGAAACUGGGGCUAAUACCGGAUAGGAGCUCCUGCUGCAUGGUGGGGGUUGGAAAGUUUCGGCGGUUGGGGAUGGACUCGCGGCUUAUCAGCUUGUUGGUGGGGUAGUGGCUUACCAAGGCUUUGACGGGUAGCCGGCCUGAGAGGGUGACCGGCCACAUUGGGACGGAGAUACGGCCCAGACUCCUACGGGAGGCAGCAGUGGGGAACAUUGCACAAGGGGCGGAAGCCUGAUGCAGCAACGCCGCGUGCGGGAUGACGGCCUUCGGGUUGUAAACCGCUUUCGCCUGUGACGAAGCGUGAGUGACGGUAAUGGGUAAAGAAGCACCGGCUAACUACGUG
This 468-nucleotide ribosomal RNA is filed under the name uncultured bacterium. Its description in RNAcentral is "partial 16S ribosomal RNA". It matches the Rfam family "Bacterial small subunit ribosomal RNA", at positions 28 to 507 of the family's 1533-position model. The record is from RNAcentral.